RNAcentral lists this ribosomal RNA (1443 nucleotides) under uncultured organism. RNAcentral describes it as "16S ribosomal RNA". It matches the Rfam family "Bacterial small subunit ribosomal RNA". The record is from RNAcentral.
ACGAACGCUGGCGGCGUGCUUAACACAUGCAAGUCGAACGGAAAGGCCCUGCUUUUGUGGGGUGCUCGAGUGGCGAACGGGUGAGUAACACGUGAGUAACCUGCCCUUGACCUUGGGAUAACUUCAGGAAACUGGGGCUAAUACCGGAUAGGAGCUCCUGCUGCAUGGUGGGGGUUGGAAAGUUUCGGCGGUUGGGGAUGGACUCGCGGCUUAUCAGCUUGUUGGUGGGGUAGUGGCUUACCAAGGCUUUGACGGGUAGCCGGCCUGAGAGGGUGACCGGCCACAUUGGGACUGAGAUACGGCCCAGACUCCUACGGGAGGCAGCAGUGGGGAAUAUUGCACAAUGGGCGGAAGCCUGAUGCAGCAACGCCGCGUGCGGGAUGACGGCCUUCGGGUUGUAAACCGCUUUCGCCUGUGACGAAGCGUGAGUGACGGUAAUGGGUAAAGAAGCACCGGCUAACUACGUGCCAGCAGCCGCGGUGAUACGUAGGGUGCGAGCGUUGUCCGGAUUUAUUGGGCGUAAAGGGCUCGUAGGUGGUUGAUCGCGUCGGAAGUGUAAUCUUGGGGCUUAACCCUGAGCGUGCUUUCGAUACGGGUUGACUUGAGGAAGGUAGGGGAGAAUGGAAUUCCUGGUGGAGCGGUGGAAUGCGCAGAUAUCAGGAGGAACACCAGUGGCGAAGGCGGUUCUCUGGGCCUUUCCUGACGCUGAGGAGCGAAAGCGUGGGGAGCGAACAGGCUUAGAUACCCUGGUAGUCCACGCUGUAAACGGUGGGUACUAGGUGUGGGGUCCAUUCCACGGGUUCCGUGCCGUAGCUAACGCUUUAAGUACCCCGCCUGGGGAGUACGGCCGCAAGGCUAAAACUCAAAGGAAUUGACGGGGCCCCGCACAAGCGGCGGAGCAUGCGGAUUAAUUCGAUGCAACGCGUAGAACCUUACCUGGGUUUGACAUGGAUCGGGAGUGCUCAGAGAUGGGUGUGCCUCUUUUGGGGUCGGUUCACAGGUGGUGCAUGGCUGUCGUCAGCUCGUGUCGUGAGAUGUUGGGUUAAGUCCCGCAACGAGCGCAACCCUUGUUCACUGUUGCCAGCACGUUAUGGUGGGGACUCAGUGGAGACCGCCGGGGUCAACUCGGAGGAAGGUGGGGAUGACGUCAAGUCAUCAUGCCCCUUAUGUCCAGGGCUUCACGCAUGCUACAAUGGCUGGUACAGAGAGUGGCGAGCCUGUGAGGGUGAGCGAAUCUCGGAAAGCCGGUCUCAGUUCGGAUUGGGGUCUGCAACUCGACCUCAUGAAGUCGGAGUCGCUAGUAAUCGCAGAUCAGCAACGCUGCGGUGAAUACGUUCCCGGGGCUUGUACACACCGCCCGUCAAGUCAUGAAAGUUGGUAACACCCGAAGCCGGUGGCCUAACCGUUGUGGGGGAGCCGUCGAAGGUGGGACUGGUGAUUAGG